RNAcentral lists this ribosomal RNA (441 nucleotides) under uncultured bacterium. RNAcentral's name for it is "partial 16S ribosomal RNA". It matches the Rfam family "Bacterial small subunit ribosomal RNA", at positions 338 to 795 of the family's 1533-position model. The record is from RNAcentral.
CCUACGGGAGGCAGCAGUGGGGAAUAUUGCACAAUGGGCGAAAGCCUGAUGCAGCAACGCCGCGUGAAGGAAGACGGUUUUCGGAUUGUAAACUUCUGUUCUUAGUGAAGAAUAAUGACGGUAACUAAGGAGCAAGCCACGGCUAACUACGUGCCAGCAGCCGCGGUAAUACGUAGGUGGCAAGCGUUGUCCGGAAUUACUGGGUGUAAAGGGAGCGUAGGCGGGAAGCCAAGUCAGCUGUGAAAACUACGGGCUUAACCUGUAGACUGCAGUUGAAACUGGCUUUCUUGAGUGAAGUAGAGGUUGGCGGAAUUCCGAGUGUAGCGGUGAAAUGCGUAGAUAUUCGGAGGAACACCGGUGGCGAAGGCGGAUGACUGGACGGCAACUGACGGUGAGGCGCGAAAGCGUGGGGAGCAAACAGGAUUAGAUACCCCAGUAGUC